UACAGGGGGGGCAAGCGUUGUUCGGCAUUACUGGGCGUAAAGGGUCUGUAGGUGGCCAACUAAGUCAGACGUGAAAUCCCUCAGCUUAACUGGGGAACUGCGUCUGAUACUGGAUGGCUCGAGUGUGGGAGAGGAAUGCGGAAUUCCAGGUGUAGCGGUGAAAUGCGUAGAUAUCUGGAGGAACACCGGUGGCGAAGGCGGCAUUCUGGACCACAACUGACACUGAGAGACGAAAGCCAGGGGAGCAAACGGG
Molecule: ribosomal RNA, 253 nt
Filed under: uncultured bacterium
Lineage: Bacteria
Description: partial 16S ribosomal RNA
Rfam family: Bacterial small subunit ribosomal RNA
Source: RNAcentral